CUGGAUCACCUCCUUUCUAUGGAGAACUCAGCAGACGAUAGUUUGCUGCAGUGUCCUAGGUCAGUAAUGGUGGAGCGUAAAGUCGUUACGUUGUUUAAUUUAGAGGGCGCAUGGCGGAUGCCU
This 123-nucleotide unclassified non-coding RNA is filed under the name uncultured Bacillota bacterium. Its description in RNAcentral is "uncultured Firmicutes bacterium partial contains 16S ribosomal RNA, 16S-23S ribosomal RNA intergenic spacer, and 23S ribosomal RNA". The record is from RNAcentral. Lineage: Bacteria; Bacillati; Bacillota.